This 160-nucleotide non-coding RNA is filed under the name Pseudomonas aeruginosa. Lineage: Bacteria; Pseudomonadati; Pseudomonadota; Gammaproteobacteria; Pseudomonadales; Pseudomonadaceae. The record is from RNAcentral.
CAAGGGACUUGAAUAAUUUGAGCCUUCGGGGGGAAACGUCCGAAGUGAAGCCCGUCAAAUUCGGCGAAAGCCCUGGAUGCUUCGGCAACCGAGCCAACGCCGAGCCAAGCCCGAGCAAUCGCUUGGGAAGGUGUAGAGAGCAGACGGCGGGCACCUACGG